RNAcentral lists this long non-coding RNA (392 nucleotides) under Mytilus galloprovincialis (Mediterranean mussel). Lineage: Eukaryota; Metazoa; Mollusca; Bivalvia; Mytilida; Mytilidae. The record is from RNAcentral.
GUUCUGUUUGUAUAUCAUAUUUAUUAUCAGUAAAUUAAUUACUUUUAUUUUUGAGAACUUUAAUUGUUUACUUUCAUUUUGACCUUAUGUGAUUGUACUUUCACUUUCACUUUAAAGUUACUUUCACUUUCACUUUUACUUUGUUGAUAUCCUGUUUCCUGUUUUGAAUUGUGAACCACAAUGACAUUGGACCAAUGUUAAUCUUUAUCUAGCGAGAGCUUUACCAUCCGUUUAUGGCAAACCACUAUGUAAGUUAAAUAUUUAUUACUAAGGUUUAUAUUUUGUAUGUGCAUAUUUAUUUUUGAUGCAAAUAAGUUAAUUAUGAAGUUCUAGAGCAAAGUAUUUACAUACAUUUUUCCUAUGAUAUUUUGAGUAAGGAACCCCGUCUGAGC